Molecule: ribosomal RNA, 819 nt
Filed under: uncultured eukaryote
Lineage: Eukaryota
Description: SSU rRNA
Rfam family: Eukaryotic small subunit ribosomal RNA
Source: RNAcentral
CGGUGUUUAACUGGCGUGAUGUGGGACGUCCUACCGGUGGGCUUAGCCUCGCGAGGGGCGGCCCAACUAAUAUCCCGUCGCGGUGCUCUUUACUGAGUGUCGAGUCGGGCCGGUACGUUUACUUUGAACAAAUUAGAGUGCUUAAAGCAGGCUAUCCUCGCCUGAAUACUGCGUGCAUGGAAUAAUGGAAUAGGACCUCGGUUCUAUUUUGUUGGUUUUCGGAACCCCGAGGUAAUGAUUAAUAGGGACAGAUGGGGGCAUUCGUAUUGCGGCGUUAGAGGUGAAAUUCUUGGAUCGUCGCAAGACGGACAGAAGCGAAAGCAUUUGCCAAAAAUGUUUUCAUUAAUCAAGAACGAAAGUUAGAGGUUCGAAGGCGAUCAGAUACCGCCCUAGUUCUAACCAUAAACGAUGCCAGCUAGCGAUCCGCCGAAGUUCCUCCGAUGACUCGGCGGGCAGCUUCCGGGAAACCAAAGCUUUUGGGUUCCGGGGGAAGUAUGGUUGCAAAGCUGAAACUUAAAGGAAUUGACGGAAGGGCACCACCAGGAGUGGAGCCUGCGGCUUAAUUUGACUCAACACGGGAAACCUCACCAGGCCCAGACACCGGAAGGAUUGACAGAUUGAUAGCUCUUUCUUGAUUCGGUGGGUGGUGGUGCAUGGCCGUUCUUAGUUGGUGGAGCGAUUUGUCUGGUUAAUUCCGAUAACGAACGAGACUCUAGCCUGCUAAAUAGGCGUACCUUAUGGUAUCGCGAAGGCCCCCGGCUUCGGCCGGUGGGUUUUUACUACCAACGUACAAACAAAUCUUCUUAGAGGGACAGGCGG